AUUGAACGCUGGCGGCAGGCCUAACACAUGCAAGUCGAGCGGCAGAAGGGAGCUUGCUCUUGGAUUCAGUGGCGGACGGGUGAGUAAUGCCUAGGAAUCUGCCUGGUAGUGGGGGAUAACGUCCGGAAACGGGCGCUAAUACCGCAUACGUCCUGAGGGAGAAAGCGGGGGAUCUUCGGACCUCACGCUAUCAGAUGAGCCUAGGUCGGAUUAGCUAGUUGGUGGGGUAAAGGCCUACCAAGGCGACGAUCCGUAACUGGUCUGAGAGGAUGACCAGUCACACUGGAACUGAGACACGGUCCAGACUCCUACGGGAGGCAGCAGUGGGGAAUAUUGGACAAUGGGCGAAAGCCUGAUCCAGCCAUGCCGCGUGUGUGAAGAAGGUCUUCGGAUUGUAAAGCACUUUAAGUUGGGAAGAAGGGCAGUAAGUUAAUACCUUGCUGUUUUGACGUUACCAACAGAAUAAGCACCGGCUAACUACGUG
This 484-nucleotide ribosomal RNA is filed under the name uncultured bacterium. Its description in RNAcentral is "partial 16S ribosomal RNA". It matches the Rfam family "Bacterial small subunit ribosomal RNA", at positions 30 to 507 of the family's 1533-position model. The record is from RNAcentral.